GGGACGCACGAACGGCGUGUACUGCGAGUGAGUGCCAGGCCCUCCCUCAGUGCCCAGCCAAGCUUCUCAGGUGCCGGGUGGAUGUGGAACUGGCACUGUGUUAGAGCUGACCCGGCGGCGACUAAAGUGCGUUGGGAGCAAUGGCUUAGCGGAAGUUCUUUGGGUGAAGGACUGCGAGCAGAUAACUUAUCAGACCAACUGCAGUGUGGGCCAUAGAAUUAAUUAAUUAAGAUUUCAUUGAUAACUAUCACAAAGAUAAGAUAUGUUGAGCUGACACUUGAAACUCGAGUUUUUUUUUACGGUACAAAAAGAUACCAAAGGUGUAGCUAAGGUGAAAAGA
Long non-coding RNA from Penaeus monodon (black tiger shrimp), 340 nucleotides. RefSeq lists it as uncharacterized. The record is from RefSeq and is a predicted model, not a curated record. The transcript is spliced from 2 exons. Lineage: Eukaryota; Metazoa; Arthropoda; Malacostraca; Decapoda; Penaeidae.